This 443-nucleotide long non-coding RNA is filed under the name Homo sapiens (human). Its description in RNAcentral is "HSALNT0379353". Lineage: Eukaryota; Metazoa; Chordata; Mammalia; Primates; Hominidae. The record is from RNAcentral.
CGCGCGACCCCAGCCCGUCCAGAGCGCGCCCCGGCACCGACCCUCGGGGCGAGGCGAGCGCAGCCCCCGCUGGCCAACAAGGAUCUGAAACUAUCAGUGGGGCAGUUGGAAGCACGUCUCUACACAUGGUUUUCCAGGGUGGUAUCUUUGCAGCACGCAGAAAUCCUCUUCUGAAGAGUCCUUUGCUGUAUUCCCCCGUGCCUCCCCACCCCCACCCUCCCACCCCCGCUAAUGGGCAUGUUUCCGUGAACACUGAAGACGAAAAACAUGCGAUUUUGAAUGUGUCUCUUUCACGGUCACACAUUUCUUUUUAUUGUGCAUCUUGGCUGAGCCACGCUUUAAAAUUCCCAGCAACCGUUCCCAAGUCAGUUUUCAAAGAGUCUUGCACCUUUGACCCAAUAAAAACCAGAGAGAACUGGACGAAGACUUGUGGCAUGUCUCGG